Molecule: long non-coding RNA, 488 nt
Organism: Leptinotarsa decemlineata (Colorado potato beetle)
Lineage: Eukaryota; Metazoa; Arthropoda; Insecta; Coleoptera; Chrysomelidae
Source: RefSeq, a predicted model, not a curated record
CCGUAAUUUUCAGUUUUAGUCUUGGCAAACGUCAUUUUUCUCUUUGGCUAACAGCAAUUGGAAGGAGUCCAGAAGAGAAUAUCAGCCCAUUAAAUGUGAAAUGUUCUAGACACUUUGCGAAAUCUGAUUUUCUAAGGAAAAAGAAAAGGAUCUUACUGAAAAGGGACGCAAUUCCAAAACUAUUCCUACAAAAAAAACGUUACUUGCAGGUCACAGUUGGAUACAGUUUCAUCAAGACCCGUUUUGAGAGACCUAAAUCCAUCAAAUAUUGAUUCAAAAAUGGGCGAAGGCAAUGUUUCAUCCAGUAAUUCAGCUUCAUCAAAAUCUGUGACAAUGAGUUCUGCUGAUAGUGCUGGACUGAAGGGAGUUCAAAAGAGAAACAGAAAUCUGGUCAAGAUAUUCCAUACAUAUGCGUCAGUAUUUUCAUAAAUAUAUGAAUUCGGUAUUAUAUAAUAUUGAAUUGAGAUAUUUUUUCAAAACGCCUCAUU